GCUGGGAGCAAUGGUACUUCUGUCAUCCCGGCUACUUGGGAGGCCGGGGAAGGAGGAUCAUUUGAGUCCAGGAGUUUUUUGAGGCCAACCAGGGCAACACAGUGAAACACUUUCAA
This 116-nucleotide small RNA is filed under the name Marmota monax (woodchuck). The record is from RNAcentral. Lineage: Eukaryota; Metazoa; Chordata; Mammalia; Rodentia; Sciuridae.